Molecule: ribosomal RNA, 253 nt
Filed under: uncultured bacterium
Lineage: Bacteria
Description: partial 16S ribosomal RNA
Rfam family: Bacterial small subunit ribosomal RNA
Source: RNAcentral
UACGGGGGGGCAAGCGUUGUUCUGAAUUACUGGGCGUAAAGGGCUCGUAGGCGGCCAACUAAGUCAGACGUGAAAUCCCUCGGCUUAACCGGGGAACUGCGUCUGAUACUGGAUGGCUUGAGAUUGGGAGAGGGAUGCGGAAUUCCAGGUGUAGCGGUGAAAUGCGUAGAUAUCUGGAGGAACACCGGUGGCGAAGGCGGCAUCCUGGACCAACACUGACGCUGAGUGAGCGAAAGCCAGGGGAGCAAACGGG